This 467-nucleotide long non-coding RNA is filed under the name Mytilus galloprovincialis (Mediterranean mussel). Lineage: Eukaryota; Metazoa; Mollusca; Bivalvia; Mytilida; Mytilidae. The record is from RNAcentral.
ACCUGUGGUUCUACCAAACACCAAUGAUCUUCAAUCAUCGCAAGACGAUCCACUUACACUGACUGCUUCCGAGUGACUUUUUCAAUGCUAUAUUUAGAAACUUAGAACUUUCUCAAUCUGUAAUUGUGUUUUUUAAUAUAGUAUAUGUGAUAUUGAUUUCUAUUCCAUAUAAGGAGUGAUCAUACAUGAUCAGUGGCUGGGACAACUUUGUAUAUAUUCCGUAUAAGGAAUGACUAUUUCUCAAUGCUAUAUUUAGAAACGGUUAUGCAUAACCGGGUAACUUUCAGUGGAUGUGACAGUUCUUAUCAUGAGCGGUUUGGACAAAAGAACUUUGAACAGUUAUAUUAUGUUUAUAGUGUUUGACUUGUAUGUAUUUAUUGCACUUUUGUUUUCAAAUUAAAAUUUUGAAACUGAUUAUUGUUUUUGGUAAUAAAUUAACCGUAAGUAAAUAAAGAUUUAAAACUUAG